Molecule: ribosomal RNA, 458 nt
Filed under: uncultured bacterium
Lineage: Bacteria
Description: partial 16S ribosomal RNA
Rfam family: Bacterial small subunit ribosomal RNA
Source: RNAcentral
CCUACAGGAGGCAGCAGUGAGGAAUAUUGGUCAAUGGGCGCGAGCCUGAACCAGCCAAGUAGCGUGAAGGAUGACUGCCCUACGGGUUGUACACUUCUUUUAUAAAGGAAUAAAGUGAGGCACGUGUGCCUUUUUGUAUGUACUUUAUGAAUAAGGAUCGGCUAACUCCGUGCCAGCAGCCGCGGUAAUACAGAGGAUCCGAGCGUUAUCCGGAUUUAUUGGGGUUAAAGGGAGGGUAGAAGGGUUUUUAAGUCAGUUGUGAAAAGUUGCGGCUCAAACGUAAAAUUGCAAUGGAUACUGGCAGCCUUGAGUACAGUUGAGGUAGGCGGAAUUCGUGGUGUAGCGGUGAAAUGCUUAGAUAUCACGAAGAACUCCGAUUGCGAAGGCAGCUUACUAAACUGCCACUGACAUUGAUGCUCGAAAGUGUGGGUAUCAAACAGGAUUAGAUACCCUUGUAC